This 427-nucleotide ribosomal RNA is filed under the name uncultured Oxalobacteraceae bacterium. RNAcentral's name for it is "bacterial SSU rRNA". It matches the Rfam family "Bacterial small subunit ribosomal RNA", at positions 355 to 774 of the family's 1533-position model. The record is from RNAcentral. Lineage: Bacteria; Pseudomonadati; Pseudomonadota; Betaproteobacteria; Burkholderiales; Oxalobacteraceae.
UGGGGAAUUUUGGACAAUGGGCGCAAGCCUGAUCCAGCAAUGCCGCGUGAGUGAAGAAGGCCUUCGGGUUGUAAAGCUCUUUUGUCAGGGAAGAAACGGUUGUGGCUAAUAUCCAUGGCUAAUGACGGUACCUGAAGAAUAAGCACCGGCUAACUACGUGCCAGCAGCCGCGGUAAUACGUAGGGUGCAAGCGUUAAUCGGAAUUACUGGGCGUAAAGCGUGCGCAGGCGGUUAUAUAAGUCAGAUGUGAAAUCCCCGGGCUCAACCUGGGAACUGCAUUUGAGACUGUAUGGCUAGAGUGUGUCAGAGGGGGGUAGAAUUCCACGUGUAGCAGUGAAAUGCGUAGAUAUGUGGAGGAAUACCGAUGGCGAAGGCAGCCCCCUGGGAUAACACUGACGCUCAUGCACGAAAGCGUGGGGAGCAAACA